GAUGAACGCUGGCGGCGUGCCUAAUACAUGCAAGUCGAGCGAACGGACGAGAAGCUUGCUUCUCUGAUGUUAGCGGCGGACGGGUGAGUAACACGUGGAUAACCUACCUAUAAGACUGGGAUAACUUCGGGAAACCGGAGCUAAUACCGGAUAAUAUUUUGAACCGCAUGGUUCAAAAGUGAAGGACGGUCUUGCUGUCACUUAUAGAUGGAUCCGCGCUGCAUUAGCUAGUUGGUAAGGUAACGGCUUACCAAGGCAACGAUGCAUAGCCGACCUGAGAGGGUGAUCGGCCACCCUGGAACUGAGACACGGUCCAGACCCCUACGGGAGGCAGCAGUAGGGAAUCUUCCGCAAUGGGCGAAAGCCUGACGGAGCAACGCCGCGUGAGUGAUGAAGGUCUUCGGAUCGUAAAACUCUGUUAUUAGGGAAGAACAUAUGUGUAAGUAACUGUGCACAUCUUGACGGUACCUAAUCAGAAAGCCACGGCUAACUACGUG
This 497-nucleotide ribosomal RNA is filed under the name uncultured bacterium. Its description in RNAcentral is "partial 16S ribosomal RNA". It matches the Rfam family "Bacterial small subunit ribosomal RNA", at positions 28 to 507 of the family's 1533-position model. The record is from RNAcentral.